UCUAUAGCUCAACUGGUAGAGCAGCUGUUUUGUAAUCAGCAGGUUGGGGGUUCGAUUCCCUCUGG
RNAcentral lists this transfer RNA (65 nucleotides) under uncultured Eubacterium sp. It matches the Rfam family "tRNA", at positions 5 to 66 of the family's 71-position model. Rfam says of the family: Transfer RNA (tRNA) molecules are approximately 80 nucleotides in length. Their secondary structure includes four short double-helical elements and three loops (D, anti-codon, and T loops). Further hydrogen bonds mediate the characteristic L-shaped molecular structure. tRNAs have two regions of fundamental functional importance: the anti-codon, which is responsible for specific mRNA codon recognition, and the 3' end, to which the tRNAs corresponding amino acid is attached (by aminoacyl-tRNA synthetases). tRNAs cope with the degeneracy of the genetic code in two manners: having more than one tRNA (with a specific anti-codon) for a particular amino acid; and 'wobble' base-pairing, i.e. permitting non-standard base-pairing at the 3rd anti-codon position. Lineage: Bacteria; Bacillati; Bacillota; Clostridia; Eubacteriales; Eubacteriaceae. The record is from RNAcentral.